CAAGCGGUGGAGCAUGUGGUUUAAUUCGAUGCAACGCGGAGAACCUUACCUACUCUUGACAUCCAGCGAACUUAGCAGAGAUGCUUUGGUGCCUUCGGGAACGCUGAGACAGGUGCUGCAUGGCUGUCGUCAGCUCGUGUUGUGAAAUGUUGGGUUAAGUCCCGCAACGAGCGCAACCCUUAUCCUUUGUUGCCAGCGAUACGGUCGGGGACUCAAAGGAGACUGCCGGUGAUAAACCGGAGGAAGGUGGGGAUGACGUCAAGUCAUCAUGGCCCUUACGAGUAGGGCUACACACGUGCUACAAUGGCGCAUACAAAGAGAAGCGACCUCGCGAGAGCAAGCGGACCUCAGAAAGUGCGUCGUAGUCCGGAUCGGAGUCUGCAACUCGACUCCGUGAAGUCGGAAUCGCUAGUAAUCGUGGAUCAGAAUGCCACGGUGAAUACGUUCCCGGGCCUUGUACACACC
This 465-nucleotide ribosomal RNA is filed under the name uncultured bacterium. RNAcentral describes it as "bacterial SSU rRNA". It matches the Rfam family "Bacterial small subunit ribosomal RNA", at positions 926 to 1391 of the family's 1533-position model. The record is from RNAcentral.